AAUCCAUAGGUUAAUGAGGCGAACCGGGGGAACUGAAACAUCUAAGUACCCCGAGGAAAAGAAAUCAACCGAGAUUCCCCCAGUAGCGGCGAGCGAACGGGGAGGAGCCCAGAGCCUGAAUCAGCAUGUGUGUUAGUGGAAGCGUCUGGAAAGGCGCGCGAUACAGGGUGACAGCCCCGUACACAAAAGCGCAUGUGCUGUGAGCUCGAUGAGUAGGGCGGGACACGUGGUAUCCUGUCUGAAUAUGGGGGGACCAUCCUCCAAGGCUAAAUACUCCUGACUGACCGAUAGUGAACCAGUACCGUGAGGGAAAGGCGAAAAGAACCCCGGCGAGGGGAGUGAAAAAGAACCUGAAACCGUGUACGUACAAGCAGUGGGAGCCCCACCACCAAAGCAUUUGCUGUACCGCGUUGACGGAGCGAAGCGACGUCAAACCGAUAAAACAGCAGUGUAAAGUG
This 458-nucleotide ribosomal RNA is filed under the name Salmonella enterica subsp. enterica serovar Enteritidis. Its description in RNAcentral is "partial 23S ribosomal RNA". It matches the Rfam family "Bacterial large subunit ribosomal RNA", at positions 161 to 590 of the family's 2925-position model. Lineage: Bacteria; Pseudomonadati; Pseudomonadota; Gammaproteobacteria; Enterobacterales; Enterobacteriaceae. The record is from RNAcentral.